UGCCCCACAGUUCCCCGUCCGGGAACAAGGAGCUGGUAUCAGGCACACUUUGUUGAGCCCAUAACACCUUGCUUAGCCACACCCUCAAGGGAACUCAGCAGUGAUAGACAUUAAGCCAUAAGUGAAAACUUGACUUAAUUAAAGCUAAGAGGGCCGGUAAAACUCGUGCCAGCCACCGCGGUUAUACGAGAGGCCCAAGUUGACAAACACCGGCGUAAAGAGUGGUUAAGUUAAAAUUUAUACUAAAGCCGAACAUCUUCAAGGCUGUUAUACGCAACCGAAGACAGGAAGUUCAACCACGAAGGUGGCUUUAUCUCAUCUGAACCCACGAAAGCUAAGGAACAAACUGGGAUUAGAUACCCCACUAUGCCUAGCCCUAAACAUUGAUAGUACUAUACACCCACUAUCCGCCCGGGAACUACGAGCAACAGCUUAAAACCCAAAGGACUUGGCGGUGCUUUAGAUCCACCUAGAGGAGCCUGUUCUAGAACCGAUAACCCCCGUUCAACCUCACCUCUUCUUGUUUAUUCCGUCUAUAUACCGCCGUCGUCAGCUUACCCUGUGAGGGAUUAAUAGUAAGCAAAACUGGUACAACCUAAAACGUCAGGUCGAGGUGUAGCGUAUGGAGGGGGAAGAAAUGGGCUACAUUCGCUAUCACAGCGAACACGAAUAGUGUAUUGAAACGUACACUUGAAGGAGGAUUUAGCAGUAAGYRG
This 716-nucleotide ribosomal RNA is filed under the name Malacocottus zonurus (darkfin sculpin). RNAcentral's name for it is "partial 12S ribosomal RNA". It matches the Rfam family "Bacterial small subunit ribosomal RNA", at positions 327 to 1345 of the family's 1533-position model. Lineage: Eukaryota; Metazoa; Chordata; Actinopteri; Perciformes; Psychrolutidae. The record is from RNAcentral.